UGCUUAACACAUGCAAGUCGAACGAGAAAGGUCUUUCGGGACCGAGUAAAGUGGCGAACGGGUGAGUAACGCGUGGGAAUCUGCCCUUUGGUGGAGGAUAUCUUUGGGAAACUGGAGUUAAUCCUGCAUAAGUUCUAAGGAAGAAAGACGGCCUCUAGCUGUCGCCGAAGGAUGAGCCCCGCGUCCUAUUAGCUUGUUGGUGGGGUAAAAGCCUACCAAGGUGAUGAUGGGUAGCCGGCCUGAGAGGGUGUACGGCCACAUUGGGACUGAGAUACGGCCCAGACUCC
This 287-nucleotide ribosomal RNA is filed under the name unidentified marine bacterioplankton. RNAcentral describes it as "partial 16S ribosomal RNA". It matches the Rfam family "Bacterial small subunit ribosomal RNA", at positions 45 to 339 of the family's 1533-position model. The record is from RNAcentral.